Molecule: ribosomal RNA, 510 nt
Filed under: uncultured bacterium
Lineage: Bacteria
Description: partial 16S ribosomal RNA
Rfam family: Bacterial small subunit ribosomal RNA
Source: RNAcentral
GACGAACGCUGGCGGCGUGCUUAACACAUGCAAGUCGAACGAAAAGUGCGGGUAUCUUGCCGCUCUCAUUCUUAGUGGCGGGCGGGUGGGUAAUGCGUAAUCAAUCUCCCCCCCAGAGGGGGACUACAGUCGGAAACUGUUGCUAGUCCCACAUACUAUCGACUCUCGGUGUCGCGGCGAUAUGAAAGGUGGUUGCUACAUGUAAGCCCUCACUGAGCGACGGUACUGAGCCGGUUUAGCUAGAUGGAGGGGUACCGGCCCACCAAGGCGAGGCUCAGUAGCCGGUCAGAGAGGAUGAAAGGCCACAUUGGGACUGAGACACGGCCCAGACCACUACGGGAGGCAGCAGGGGGGAACCUUCCGCAAUGGACGAAAGGCGGAAGGAGCAACGCCGCGUGAGUGAUGACGGCCGUCGGGUUGUGAAGCUCUGUUAAUCGGGACGAAAGGCCUUCUUGCGAACAGGUAGAAGGAUUGACGGUACCGGAAUAGAAAGCCACGGCUAACUACGUG